Molecule: ribosomal RNA, 254 nt
Filed under: uncultured bacterium
Lineage: Bacteria
Description: partial 16S ribosomal RNA
Rfam family: Bacterial small subunit ribosomal RNA
Source: RNAcentral
CACGUAGGGUGCGAGCGUUGUCCGGAAUUAUUGGGCGUAAAGAGCUCGUAGGCGGUGUGUCGCGUCGGCCGUGAAAACCUGCAGCUUAACUGUGGGCUUGCGGUCGAUACGGGCAUCACUGGAGUUCGGCAGGGGAGACUGGAAUUCCUGGUGUAGCGGUGAAAUGCGCAGAUAUCAGGAGGAACACCGGUGGCGAAAGCGGGUCUCUGGGCCGAUACUGACGCUGAGGAGCGAAAGCGUGGGGAGCGAACAGG